UAGGGAAUCUUCGGCAAUGGACGAAAGUCUGACCGAGCAACGCCGCGUGAGUGAAGAAGGUUUUCGGAUCGUAAAACUCUGUUGUUAGAGAAGAACAAGGAUGAGAGUAACUGUUCAUCCCUUGACGGUAUCUAACCAGAAAGCCACGGCUAACUACGUGCCAGCAGCCGCGGUAAUACGUAGGUGGCAAGCGUUGUCCGGAUUUAUUGGGCGUAAAGCGAGCGCAAGCGGUUUCUUAAGUCUGAUGUGAAAGCCCCCGGCUCAACCGGGGAGGGUCAUUGGAAACUGGGAGACUUGAGUGCAGAAGAGGAGAGUGGAAUUCCAUGUGUAGCGGUGAAAUGCGUAGAUAUAUGGAGGAACACCAGUGGCGAAGGCGGCUCUCUGGUCUGUAACUGACGCUGAGGCUCGAAAGCGUGGGGAGCAAACAGGAUUAGAUACCCUGGUAGUCCACGCCGUAAACGAUGAGUGCUAAGUGUUGGAGGGUUUCCGCCCUUCAGUGCUGCAGCUAACGCAUUAAGCACUCCGCCUGGGGAGUACGACCGCAAGGUUG
This 550-nucleotide ribosomal RNA is filed under the name uncultured bacterium. RNAcentral describes it as "bacterial SSU rRNA". It matches the Rfam family "Bacterial small subunit ribosomal RNA", at positions 355 to 896 of the family's 1533-position model. The record is from RNAcentral.